UUGAACGCUGGCGGCAUGCUUUACACAUGCAAGUCGAACGGCAGCGGGGUAGUGCUUGCACUACUGCCGGCGAGUGGCGAACGGGUGAGUAAUAUAUCGGAACGUACCGAGUAAUGGGGGAUAACCAAUCGAAAGAUUGGCUAAUACCGCAUACGUCCUGAGGGAGAAAGCGGGGGAUCGCAAGACCUCGCGUUAUUCGAGCGGCCGAUAACUGAUUAGCUAGUUGGUGGGGUAAAGGCCUACCAAGGCGACGAUCAGUAGCGGGUCUGAGAGGACGAUCCGCCACACUGGGACUGAGACACGGCCCAGACUCCUACGGGAGGCAGCAGUGGGGAAUUUUGGACAAUGGGGCAACCCUGAUCCAGCCAUGCCGCGUGUAUGAAGAAGGCCUUCGGGUUGUAAAGUACUUUUGUUAGGGAAGAAAAGGGAAGUGCUAAUACCACUUUUUGCUGACGGUACCUAAAGAAUAAGCACCGGCUAACUACGUG
This 488-nucleotide ribosomal RNA is filed under the name uncultured bacterium. Its description in RNAcentral is "partial 16S ribosomal RNA". It matches the Rfam family "Bacterial small subunit ribosomal RNA", at positions 30 to 507 of the family's 1533-position model. The record is from RNAcentral.